UGAAUACGAGACGCUACGGCGUCGAAGCAGUCUAUGUCAUACUUCCAAGAAAAGCUUGCACUGUCAUAAACAAAUAAUGCCUGUACCAUAACCGACACAGGUGGGUAGGUAGAGUAUACUAAGGGGCGCGAGAUAACUCUCUCUAAGGAACUCGGCAAAAUGACUCCGUAACUUCGGGAGAAGGAGUGCCUUAUUUAUAAGGUUGCAAUAACAAGAUCCAAGCAACUGUUUAUCAAAAACACAGGUCUCCGCUAAGUCGUAAGACGAUGUAUGGGGGCUGACGCCUGCCCAGUGCCAGAAGGUUAAAGAAGUUGGUUAGCAUUAGCGAAGCUGAUAACUGAAGCCCUGGUGAACGGCGGCCGUAACUAUAACGGUCCUAAGGUAGCGAAAUUCCUUGUCGGGUAAGUUCCGACCCGCACGAAAGGCGUAAUGAUUUGGAUACUGUCUCAGAGAGGGGCUCGGUGAAAUAGACUUGUCUGUGAAGAUGCGGACUACCUGCACCAGGACAGAAAGACCCUAUGAAGCUUUACUGUAACUUGAAAUUGAAAUUGGACUUUAUUUGCGCAGUAUAGGUGGGAGGCAUUGAUAAUAUUCUUGCGGGAAUGUUGGAGCCAUCAGUGAGAUACCACUCUUGUAAUGUUAGAUUUCUAACUUUGGAUCAUUAUCUGGUCAAAGGACAGUUUCAGGCGGGCAGUUUGACUGGGGCGGUCGCCUCCUAAAUGGUAACGGAGGCGCACAAAGGUUUCCUCUGAACGGGUAGAAAUCGUAUCUAGAGUGUAAAGGCAUAAGGAAGCUUGACUGUGAGACCUACAAGUCGAGCAGGGACGAAAGUCGGUCUUAGUGAUCUGACGGUGCUGAGUGGAAAGGCCGUCACUCAACGGAUAAAAGUUACUCUAAGGAUAACAGGCUGAUCUCCCCCAAGAGUUCACAUCGACGGGGAGGUUUGGCACCUCGAUGUCGGCUCAUCGCAUCCUGGGGCGGUAGUACGUCCCAAGGGUUGGGCUGUUCGCCCAUGAAAGCGGUACGCGAGCUGGGUUCAGAACGUCGUGAGACAGUUCGGUCCAUAUCCGGUGUAGGCGUUAGAAUAUUGAGAGGAGCCUUCUUUAGUACGAGAGGACCGAGAAGGACAUACCUCUGGUGUACCAGUUAUCGUGCCAACGGUAAACGCUGGGUAGCUAUGUAUGGAGAGGAUAACCGCUGAAAGCAUCUAAGUGGGAAGCCCACCUCAAGAUAAGUAUUCUCA
This 1243-nucleotide ribosomal RNA is filed under the name metagenome. Its description in RNAcentral is "bacterial LSU rRNA". It matches the Rfam family "Bacterial large subunit ribosomal RNA", at positions 1564 to 2816 of the family's 2925-position model. The record is from RNAcentral.